UUUUAUUUAAUUUUGAUUGUAAAAUUAAAUUCUUUAAUAUAGAUUUUUUAAUAUUAAGAAGUUCAGGAAGUAGUAUUUUAUUUUUAUUUAGGAAAAUUAGUUGGCUUGGGAUUCCAAAUCCUGGUAGUAGCAAAGUUAAGUAUUCUACUGUAAAUGCCUAUGUCCUUUAAGUAUUUCGAUAGACUUUUAUUAUUGACAAUUUGAGAAUUG
Molecule: unclassified non-coding RNA, 210 nt
Filed under: Hevea brasiliensis (rubber tree)
Lineage: Eukaryota; Viridiplantae; Streptophyta; Magnoliopsida; Malpighiales; Euphorbiaceae
Source: RNAcentral